UACGUAGGGGGCAAGCGUUGUCCGGAUUUAUUGGGCGUAAAGAGCGUGUAGGCGGCCAGGUAGGUCGGUUGUGAAAACUCGAGGCUCAACCUCGAGAUGUCGACCGAAACCAUCUGGCUAGAGUCCGGAAGAGGAGAAUGGAAUUCCCGGUGUAGCGGUGAAAUGCGCAGAUAUCGGGAGGAACACCGGUGGCGAAGGCGACAUCCUGGACCAACACUGACGCUGAGGAGCGAAAGCCAGGGGAGCAAACGGG
RNAcentral lists this ribosomal RNA (253 nucleotides) under uncultured bacterium. Its description in RNAcentral is "partial 16S ribosomal RNA". It matches the Rfam family "Bacterial small subunit ribosomal RNA", at positions 524 to 776 of the family's 1533-position model. The record is from RNAcentral.